GACGAACGCUGGCGGCGUGCUUAACACAUGCAAGUCGAACGGAAAGGCCCCCUUGUGGGGUACUCGAGUGGCGAACGGGUGAGUAACACGUGAGUAACCUACCCUUGACUUUGGGAUAACUUCAGGAAACUGGGGCUAAUACCGGAUAGGAGCUCCUGCUGCAUGGUGGGGGUUGGAAAGUUUCGGCGGUUGGGGAUGGACUCGCGGCUUAUCAGCUUAUUGGUGGGGUAGUGGCUCACCAAGGCUUUGACGGGUAGCCGGCCUGAGAGGGUGACCGGCCACAUUGGGACUGAGAUACGGCCCAGACCCCUACGGGAGGCAGCAGUGGGGAAUAUUGCACAAUGGGCGGAAGCCUGAUGCAGCAACGCCGCGUGCGGGAUGACGGCCUUCGGGUUGUAAACCGCUUUCGCCUGUGACGAAGCGUGAGUGACGGUAAUGGGUAAAGAAGCACCGGCUAACUACGUG
This 465-nucleotide ribosomal RNA is filed under the name uncultured bacterium. Its description in RNAcentral is "partial 16S ribosomal RNA". It matches the Rfam family "Bacterial small subunit ribosomal RNA", at positions 28 to 507 of the family's 1533-position model. The record is from RNAcentral.